RNAcentral lists this ribosomal RNA (425 nucleotides) under Megaselia subpleuralis. Its description in RNAcentral is "partial 16S ribosomal RNA". The record is from RNAcentral. Lineage: Eukaryota; Metazoa; Arthropoda; Insecta; Diptera; Phoridae.
UUUUAGAAAUUAAUUAAAAGUCUAACCUGCCCACUGAAUAUUUUAAAUGGCCGCAGUAUUUUAACUGUGCAAAGGUAGCAUAAUCAUUAGUCUUUUAAUUGAAGGCUGGAAUGAAUGGUUGAAUGAAAUAUUAACUGUUUCAUAAAAAUUUAUAAUAAAAYUUUAUUUUUUAGUUAAAAAGCUAAAAUAUAAUUAAAAGACGAGAAGACCCUAUAAAUCUUUAUAUUUUAAUAAUUUUAAUUAUUUAGAAAAUUUAAAUUAUAAUUAUAAAAAAUAUUUUAUUGGGGUGAUAUUAAAAUUUAAUAAACUUUUAAUUUAUUAUUAACAUUUAUUUAUGAAUUAUUGAUCCAUUAAUAAUGAUUAAAAAAUUAAGUUACUUUAGGGAUAACAGCGUAAUUUUUUUAGAGAGUUCAUAUUGAUAAAAA